Molecule: long non-coding RNA, 316 nt
Filed under: Malus domestica (apple)
Lineage: Eukaryota; Viridiplantae; Streptophyta; Magnoliopsida; Rosales; Rosaceae
Description: long non-coding RNA (MDOM_LNC021210)
Source: RNAcentral
UUAUAUUCUAAACAGUUAACACUACCAUAUCAUCUCUACUAUAGAGACAAUCAAUUAGAUUACUAUAAUUCAAUUUCUUUGGUAGUUCAUAUGAGGAAGUAAGUACUAUCUGCUUUCGCAGAGAUCUAUAUCUUAUUCACGUUCCGUAUGUGAAGCACCUUUUUCUUCUCUCAUAUAUCUUCUACUUCUUAUUAGUCACACUUUUACAACGAUUUGUAAAACAUAGUUACUAAUACGGAAUCAUACAUUCAAGUAGAAGAACCAACUGUUUUGAACUAUUCAAGAACAAUUUACAACACCUUCGAAAGGUGUGUCC